GUGCCAGCCGCCGCGGUAAUACGUAGGGGGCUAGCGUUGUCCGGAAUCAUUGGGCGUAAAGCGCGUGUAGGCGGCCUGGUAAGUCUGCUCUGAAAGCCGAGGGCUCAACCCUCGGAGGCGGGUAGAUACUGCUGGGCUCGAGUCCGGAAGAGGUGAGUGGAAUUCCCGGUGUAGCGGUGAAAUGCGCAGAUAUCGGGAGGAACACCAAUGGCGAAGGCAGCUCACUGGGACGGUACUGACGCUGAGACGCGAAAGCGUGGGGAGCAAACAGGAUUAGAUACCCGAGUAGUCC
RNAcentral lists this ribosomal RNA (292 nucleotides) under uncultured bacterium. Its description in RNAcentral is "partial 16S ribosomal RNA". It matches the Rfam family "Bacterial small subunit ribosomal RNA", at positions 505 to 796 of the family's 1533-position model. The record is from RNAcentral.